UUAUCAACUUUCGAUGGUAGGAUAGAGGCCUACCAUGGUGGUAACGGGUAACGGGGUGUUAGGGCACGACACCGGAGAGGGAGCCUGAGAAACGGCUACCACAUCCAAGGAUGGCAGCAGGCGCGCAAAUUACCCAAUCCCGACACGGGGAGGUAGUGACAAUAAAUAACAAUACGGGGUUCUUUCGGAUCUCGUAAUUGGAAUGAGUACAAUUUAAAUCUCUUAACGAGGAACAAUUGGAGGGCAAGUCUGGUGCCAGCAGCCGCGGUAAUUCCAGCUCCAAUAGCGUAUAUUAAAGUUGUUGCAGUUAAAAAGCUCGUAGUUGAAUUUCGGGAUCAGUAGGUCGGUCAUGCCUAUGGUAUGUACUGGUUUUACUGAUUCCUCCUUCUUGAUGAUCUGUAAUGUCAUUAAUUUGGUGUUGCAGGGAGUCAGGACUGUUACUUUGAAAAAAUUAGAGUGUUUAAAGCAGGCAUACGCUUGAAUACAUUAGCAUGGAAUAAUGAAAUAGGACGUUCGAUCCUAUUUUGUUGGUUUCUAGGAUUGACGUAAUGAUUAAUAGGGAUAGUUGGGGGCAUUAGUAUUCAAUUGUCAGAGGUGAAAUUCUUGGAUUUAUUGAAGACUAACUACUGCGAAAGCAUUUGCCAAGGAUGUUUUCAUUAAUCAAGAACGAAAGUUAGGGGAUCGAAGACGAUCAGAUACCGUCGUAGUCUUAACCAUAAACUAUGCCGACUAGGGAUCGGAUGAUGUUAAUUUUUUAAUGACUCAUUCGGCGCCUUACGGGAAACCAAAGUGUUUGGGUU
RNAcentral lists this ribosomal RNA (800 nucleotides) under uncultured Rhizophagus. RNAcentral describes it as "SSU rRNA". It matches the Rfam family "Eukaryotic small subunit ribosomal RNA", at positions 312 to 1113 of the family's 1831-position model. The record is from RNAcentral. Lineage: Eukaryota; Fungi; Glomeromycota; Glomeromycetes; Glomerales; Glomeraceae.